CCAAUAGCGUAUAUUAAAGUUGUUGCAGUUAAAAAGCUCGUAGUUGAAUUUCGGGAUCAAUAUAUUGGUCGUGCCACCGGUACGUACUGGUCUCACUGGUUCCUCCUUCCUGAUGAACUAUGAUGCCAUUAAUUUGGUGUUACGGGAAGUCUGGACUGUUACUUUGAAAAAAUUAGAGUGUUUAAAGCAGGCUAUCGCUUGAAUACAUUAGCAUGGAAUAAUGAAAUAGGACGUUCGAUCCUAUUUUGUUGGUUUCUAGGAUUGACGUAAUGAUUAAUAGGGAUAGUUGGGGGCAUUAGUAUUCAAUUGUCAGAGGUGAAAUUCUUGGAUUUAUUGAAGACUAACUACUGCGAAAGCAUUUGCCAAGGAUGUUUUCAUUAAUCAAGAACGAAAGUUAGGGGAUCGAAGACGAUCAGAUACCGUCGUAGUCUUAACCAUAAACUAUGCCGACUAGGGAUCGGAUGAUGUUAAUUUUUUAAUGACUCAUUCGGCGCCUUACG
RNAcentral lists this ribosomal RNA (500 nucleotides) under uncultured Glomeromycotina. RNAcentral's name for it is "partial small subunit ribosomal RNA". It matches the Rfam family "Eukaryotic small subunit ribosomal RNA", at positions 591 to 1092 of the family's 1831-position model. Lineage: Eukaryota; Fungi; Glomeromycota. The record is from RNAcentral.